Molecule: non-coding RNA, 854 nt
Organism: Camelina sativa (false flax)
Lineage: Eukaryota; Viridiplantae; Streptophyta; Magnoliopsida; Brassicales; Brassicaceae
Source: RefSeq, a predicted model, not a curated record
AACUUUGUCUUUUCCUAAGAAUCUGUAGAGCCAAUUUCGAAAAGGAAAUCUAAUUACGAUCUGGAAAUCGAGAGGGUUGCGACGAGUGAGCUUCUCUUCCUCAGAAGCCAUAGACACCACCUGCAACUGCUUCCUUGUCCUGCGGCUCAGAGGGAAGCGUUGAACGGAGAUGAAAGGGCUACCGAUAGAAGAAGCAGCUCCGUUUAGCGACGGUGAAGAUAGUGGCAGAGAGAGAAGUGGCAACGGUGACUAAAGCGAUGCCGAUACAUGAAGCGGCGCCGUAGCUCCUCAGCCUCUCUGUCUUCUAUGAUUCUAUCGGAGCAUAUGACAGCGACGAAGCAGCAGCACAUACUGGGGACCCGACACACCAUCUUUUAUUUUCUGUGUUUGUGCAGAAGAACACUCCGUCCCUAUCAGUGCCACAGUUUGGUGAUUGGGACCAAAAAAGAGGAGGAACAUUGCCUGACUACUCUCUGGAUUUGACUAAGAUUGAAGAGAUGAGGAAACAAAAAAAAAGAGACCCUUCUCCAGCCAGUUUAGGCAACGAGGAUGAUGAGCUCAUUAAGCCACCCGACUCAGCUACUUCCACAACUGCUAAAUUCACAAAAUUGUUUAUGUCAAGGUAUUCCCCCUCUUUAAUAUAUUUCCUCAUAUGAAUCCUAAAAACUCUAGAAAGUAAUUUGCCUUUUGAGUUGUCUUGUAAUUGCUGUCUUUUGUUUGGUUUAUCUGAUGUUUUUCAAAAAAUUGAAUCGUUAUUUGACACAGCCUUUCUGGUCAAUAAUUUGAAAAAAACUUCGCCUUUCAAAACAAAACAUUCUAGGGCCUUACAAAACUGCAGCCCUUCACAGUAAUAC